RNAcentral lists this unclassified non-coding RNA (378 nucleotides) under uncultured bacterium. RNAcentral describes it as "contains 16S-23S intergenic spacer region". The record is from RNAcentral.
UCCGGUUUGUCACCGGCAGUCUCACUAGAGUGCCCAACUGAAUGUAGCAACUAAUGACAAGGGUUGCGCUCGUUGCGGGACUUAACCCAACAUCUCACGACACGAGCUGACGACAGCCAUGCAGCACCUGUGUUACGGCUCCCUUUCGGGCACGUCUCCAUCUCUGGAGACUUCCGUACAUGUCAAGGGUGGGUAAGGUUUUUCGCGUUGCAUCGAAUUAAACCACAUCAUCCACCGCUUGUGCGGGCCCCCGUCAAUUCCUUUGAGUUUCAGCCUUGCGGCCGUACUCCCCAGGCGGGGCACUUACUGCGUUAGCGACGGCACCGGGAGGGUCGAUCCCCCCGACGCCUAGUGCCCAUCGUUUACGGCGUGGACUAC